GGACAUAAGGGCGAUCUGACUGUGAUAUCAGUCACCCCAUUGAUCACUAGGGUUGAUUCAUUUGAUCUUGCUGGCUAGGCAGGUGUCCCCUUCCUCCUUCACCACUCUAUAUCCAUCCCUCCCAAAGUUUCACAAUGGGUAAAGAGGACAGCCUUCCCCAAAUAGAGACAGACCAGUCUUUGGUAAAAGAUAAAUGAGUAGCUGUAGUCCCCUGCUAGAACCUCCAAACAAGCUCUCAACUGAUCAAAUUAUGUAGGUAUAUGUAUAGGUUUAUAAUUUUAAUACAAUAAUCCUAACAAUAAAAAUAAGAGAAGUAGAUUAACAUGUUUU
Molecule: small nuclear RNA, 330 nt
Filed under: Erinaceus europaeus (western European hedgehog)
Lineage: Eukaryota; Metazoa; Chordata; Mammalia; Eulipotyphla; Erinaceidae
Description: 7SK RNA
Rfam family: 7SK RNA
About the family: 7SK was discovered as an abundant small nuclear RNA in the mid-70s but a possible function has only recently been suggested.
Source: Rfam by way of RNAcentral